UGGGGAAUUUUGGACAAUGGGCGAAAGCCUGAUCCAGCCAUGCCGCGUGAGUGAAGAAGGCCUUCGGGUUGUAAAGCUCUUUUAGUCGGAAAGAAAGAGUUGCAAUGAAUAAUUGUGAUUUAUGACGGUACCGACAGAAAAGCACCGGCUAACUACGUGCCCGCAGCCGCGGUAAUACGUAGGGUGCGAGCGUUAAUCGGAAUUACUGGGCGUAAAGGGUGCGCAGGCGGUCUUGCAAGUCAGAUGUGAAAGCCCCGGGCUUAACCUGGGAAUUGCGUUUGAAACUACAAGGCUAGAGUGCAGCAGAGGGGAGUGGAAUUCCAUGUGUAGCAGUGAAAUGCGUAGAGAUGUGGAAGAACACCGAUGGCGAAGGCAGCUCCCUGGGUUGACACUGACGCUCAUGCACGAAAGCUUGGGGAGCAAACA
RNAcentral lists this ribosomal RNA (426 nucleotides) under uncultured bacterium. Its description in RNAcentral is "bacterial SSU rRNA". It matches the Rfam family "Bacterial small subunit ribosomal RNA", at positions 355 to 774 of the family's 1533-position model. The record is from RNAcentral.